Molecule: unclassified non-coding RNA, 137 nt
Filed under: soil metagenome
Description: partial internal transcribed spacer 1
Source: RNAcentral
CUGAGUACUUACUCUCUACCCUUUGUGAACUAUUAUACCUGUUGCUUCGGCGGCGCCCGCGAGGGUGCCCGCCGGUCUCAUCAGAAUCUCUGUUUUCGAACCCGACGAUACUUCUGAGUGUUCUUAGCGAACUGUCA